This 500-nucleotide ribosomal RNA is filed under the name uncultured bacterium. Its description in RNAcentral is "partial 16S ribosomal RNA". It matches the Rfam family "Bacterial small subunit ribosomal RNA", at positions 30 to 523 of the family's 1533-position model. The record is from RNAcentral.
AUUGAACGCUGGCGGAAUGCUUUACACAUGUAAGUCGAACGGCAGCACGGACUUCGGUCUGGUGGCGAGUGGCGAACGGGUGAGUAAUGUAUCGGAACGUGCCCAGUCGUGGGGGAUAACGUAGUGAAAAUUACGCUAAUACCGCAUACGAUCUAUGGAUGAAAGCGGGGGAUCGCAAGACCUCGCGCGAUUGGAGCGGCCGAUAUCAGAUUAGGUAGUUGGUGGGGUAAAGGCCCACCAAGCCAACGAUCCGUAGCGGGUCUGAGCGGACGACUAGCAAGCGUGGAACUGAGACACGGCCCAGACUCCUACGGGAGGAAGCAGUGGGGACUUUUGGACAAUGGGCGAAAGCCUGAUCCAGCCAUCCCGCGUGCAGGAUGAAGGCCCUCGGGUUGUAAACUGCUUUUGUACAGAACGAAAAGGUUUCUACUAAUACUAGGAGCUCAUGACGGUACUGUAAGAAUAAGCACCGGCUAACUACGUGCCAGCCGCCGCGGUAA